UAGGGAAUCUUCGGCAAUGGACGAAAGUCUGACCGAGCAACGCCGCGCGAGUGAAGAAGGGUUUCGGAGCGUAAAACUCUGUUGUUAGAGAAGAACAAGGACGUUAGUAACUGAACGUCCCCUGACGGUAUCUAACCAGAAAGCCACGGCUAACUACGUGCCAGCAGCCGCGGUAAUACGUAGGUGGCAAGCGUUGUCCGGAUUUAUUGGGCGGAAAGCGAGCGCAGGCGGUUUCUUAAGUCUGAUGUGAAAGCCCCCGGCUCAACCGGGGAGGGUAUUUGGAAACUGGGAGUCUUGAGUGCAGAAGGGGAGCGUGAAAUUCCAUGUGUAGCGGUGAAAUGCGUAGAUAUAUUGUGGAACACCUGUGGCGAAGGCGGCUCUCUGGUCUGUCACUGACGCUGAGGCUCGAAAGCGUGGGGCGCAAACAGG
This 429-nucleotide ribosomal RNA is filed under the name Gemmatimonadota bacterium. Its description in RNAcentral is "Gemmatimonadetes bacterium partial 16S ribosomal RNA". It matches the Rfam family "Bacterial small subunit ribosomal RNA", at positions 355 to 776 of the family's 1533-position model. Lineage: Bacteria; Pseudomonadati; Gemmatimonadota. The record is from RNAcentral.